GAUGAACGCUAGCGGCGGGCCUAAUACAUGCAAGUCGAGGGGCAGCAGGGGUAGCAAUACUCGCUGGCGACCGGCGCACGGGUGCGUAACGCGUAUGCAACCUACCCAUAACACGGGAAUAGCCCGAAGAAAUUCGGAUUAAUACUCGAUAGUAUCACAUGAUGGCAUCUGAAAGUGAUUAAAGAUUUAUCGGUUAUGGAUGGGCAUGCGUCUGAUUAGCUAGUUGGUGAGGUAAUGGCUCACCAAGGCUACGAUCAGUAGGGGUUCUGAGAGGAUGAUCCCCCACACCGGUACUGAGACACGGACCGGACUCCUACGGGAGGCAGCAGUAAGGAAUAUUGGUCAAUGGACGCAAGUCUGAACCAGCCACGCCGCGUGCAGGAUGACGGCCCUAUGGGUUGUAAACUGCUUUUGUUUGGGAAGAAACCCCUUUUGCGAAAGGGACUGACGGUACCAGACGAAUAAGCACCGGCUAACUCCGUG
RNAcentral lists this ribosomal RNA (483 nucleotides) under uncultured organism. RNAcentral's name for it is "bacterial SSU rRNA". It matches the Rfam family "Bacterial small subunit ribosomal RNA", at positions 28 to 507 of the family's 1533-position model. The record is from RNAcentral.